Molecule: non-coding RNA, 224 nt
Organism: Pelobates cultripes (western spadefoot toad)
Lineage: Eukaryota; Metazoa; Chordata; Amphibia; Anura; Pelobatidae
Source: the annotation of a GenBank genome assembly
UUUUAACCUGUGUGUCACCUUGUGUCUGCAAGAAGGCCAAACAUUCUGGAGUAUGUAAACUUUUGAUCAGGGCCAUUUGGGUGAUUUCUGUUUUCAUUAUGUUUAAAAAAGGAGCCAAAUGGGAGCAGAGCCCGACUCUUAAGAUAACCAGACAUGCUCUGUAUGAGCUCCCAUUAUCUGUGCUGAUUUCCUGGAGAUAUCUUUGGAUACCGGGCAGGGAACCC